GAUCCUGGCUCAGGAUGAACGCUGGCGGCGUGCUUAACACAUGCAAGUCGAACGAAGCAAUUUUCUACGAUCCCUUCGGGGUGACGGAUUAUUGACUGAGUGGCGGACGGGUGAGUAACGCGUGGGUAACCUACCUUGUACAGGGGGACAACAGUUGGAAACGACUGCUAAUACCGCAUAAGCGCACGGUAUCGCAUGAUACAGUGUGAAAAGUUUUUUCGGUACAAGAUGGACCCGCGUCUGAUUAGCUAGUUGGUGAGGUAACGGCUCACCAAGGCGGCGAUCAGUAGCCGACCUGAGAGGGUGACCGGCCACAUUGGGACUGAGACACGGCCCAAACUCCUACGGGAGGCAGCAGUGGGGGAUAUUGCACAAUGGGGGAAACCCUGAUGCAGCGACGCCGCGUGAGUGAAGAAGUAUUUCGGUAUGUAAAGCUCUAUCAGCAGGGAAGAAAAUGACGGUACCUGACUAAGAAGCUCCGGCUAAAUACGUGCC
RNAcentral lists this ribosomal RNA (495 nucleotides) under uncultured organism. Its description in RNAcentral is "SSU rRNA". It matches the Rfam family "Bacterial small subunit ribosomal RNA", at positions 15 to 509 of the family's 1533-position model. The record is from RNAcentral.